UAAGCCAGCCCGGAGUCACGUGAGACGGGAGCACGUAGGGCUGUGACUAGGCACGCUCCGCUGGAAGUCAUCGGUGUAGCAGACUUCCACGCACACGGGGACUAGUGACGGGCACUGUGACACACCAGACGCCUUUACCAGAGCCCUUGCCAGAGCCCCGUGAAGCUUCCCCAGCGAGUGACCUGCUGGCGUCCUGUUGGUCUGCACACGGGAAGAGUCGAGUGUAGAGAAGAGCCCGUCCCCAUUCCUCCCCACGUGUAGCCAGGCGCCUCUCGCUGACUCUUCUCUGCCAUGUGUGGGCAGGCCGGGCAUUGCCAGGAGCCAGGUGCCUGCUGCACCGAGAGUGACAGAGGUCUGUCUAACACUCUGUAGAGGUGCCAGGACCCGCUCUGCCUGUCCCCCGAGUCUGUCCAGCUGUCCCCUGUGGCAGGGCAACGCGUUAGAUGAUUCUGGAAGUCCCUGUCUUCCCUUCCAGAUCCCCUUUAUUUGCUGUCCUAAAUCAUUCAUGACUUGUAAUAAAGGCCUCCCUGGCCCCCUCCCAGCCCCCCGCAGAAAAUAUUAUUUAACA
Mesocricetus auratus (golden hamster) is the source of this 568-nucleotide long non-coding RNA. RefSeq lists it as uncharacterized. NCBI's taxonomy places the organism in Eukaryota, Metazoa, Chordata, Mammalia, Rodentia, Cricetidae. The record is from RefSeq and is a predicted model, not a curated record. The transcript is spliced from 3 exons.